GACCUCUGACCUCAAAUCAGGUAGGACUACCAAGUCC
This 37-nucleotide ribosomal RNA is filed under the name Ganoderma resinaceum. Its description in RNAcentral is "partial 28S ribosomal RNA". Lineage: Eukaryota; Fungi; Basidiomycota; Agaricomycetes; Polyporales; Polyporaceae. The record is from RNAcentral.